GACGAACGCUGGCGGCGUGCUUAACACAUGCAAGUCGAACGGAAAGGCCCUGCUUUUGUGGGGUGCUCGAGUGGCGAAGGGGUGAGUAACACGUGAGUAACCUGCCCUUGACUUUGGGAUAACUUCAGGAAACUGGGGCUAAUACCGGAUAGGAGCUCCUGAUGCAUGGUGGGGGUUGGAAAGUUUCGGCGGUUGGGGAUGGAUUCGCGGCUUAUCAGCUUGUUGGGGGGGUAGUGGCUUACCAAGGUUUUGACGGGUAGCCGGCCUGAGAGGGUGACCGGCCACAUUGAGACUGAGAUAGGGCGCAGACGCCUACGUGAGGCAGCGGUGGGGAAUAUUGCGCAAUGGGCGGAAGUCUGAUGCAGCGACGCCGCGUGCGGGAUGACGGCCUUCGGGUUGUAAACCGCUGUCGCCUGUGACGAAGCGGGAGUGACGGUAAUGGGUAAAGAAGCACCGGCUAACUACGUG
This 468-nucleotide ribosomal RNA is filed under the name uncultured bacterium. RNAcentral describes it as "partial 16S ribosomal RNA". It matches the Rfam family "Bacterial small subunit ribosomal RNA", at positions 28 to 507 of the family's 1533-position model. The record is from RNAcentral.